GACGAACGCUGGCGGCGUGCUUAACACAUGCAAGUCGAACGGAAAGGCCCUGCUUUUGUGGGGUGCUCGAGUGGCGAACGGGUGAGUAACACGUGAGUAACCUGCCCUUGACUUUGGGAUAACUUCAGGAAACUGGGGCUAAUACCGGAUAGGAGCUCCUGCUGCAUGGUGGGGGUUGGAAAGUUUCGGCGGUUGGGGAUGGACUCGCGGCUUAUCAGCUUGUUGGUGGGGUAGUGGCUUACCAAGGCUUUGACGGGUAGCCGGCCUGAGAGGGUGACCGGCCACAUUGGGACUGAGAUACGGUCCAGACUCCUACGGGAGGCAGCAGUGGGGAAUAUUGCACAAUGGGCUGAAGCCUGAUGCAGCAACGCCGCGUGCGGGAUGACGGCCUUCGGGUUGUAAACCGCUUUCGCCUGUGACGAAGCGUGAGUGACGGUAAUGGGUAAAGAAGCACCGGCUAACUACGUG
This 468-nucleotide ribosomal RNA is filed under the name uncultured bacterium. RNAcentral describes it as "partial 16S ribosomal RNA". It matches the Rfam family "Bacterial small subunit ribosomal RNA", at positions 28 to 507 of the family's 1533-position model. The record is from RNAcentral.